Molecule: long non-coding RNA, 511 nt
Filed under: Pan troglodytes (chimpanzee)
Lineage: Eukaryota; Metazoa; Chordata; Mammalia; Primates; Hominidae
Description: lincRNA
Source: RNAcentral
GGGAGGCCGAGGCUUGUGGGGUUGCGCUCACGCUCGCACCGGCCGGCCCCCGCCCUGACCGCGAACGCUCAAGGAUGCUGCACGCAGGUUUUUCCUCACGGAAUGAAGUUGAUAAUAGUGAGACCUUGUUGGUACAAGACUCUGUAACAUAACCUGCGCUUCUCAACAAAGAAUUGCUUUUCUGACUUCUGCACUCAAUAGCAAGACAAAUCUCUCCUCUGUCUUUUUCUUAUCAGACUACUCAACAUGAAGGCAAUAAGAAUGAAGACCUUUAUGUAUAAUAAUUGACUUCCACUUAAUAAAUAAGGUUACUUGGUACACUGGUCGACAAAACCUUGAAAUGUUGAUGUUUAAGGGCUGUUGAUUGCUGGCAACAAAGAAGUCCAACUGUGCUGGUACCCGAGAUAGCGUCUCCACAUUUUCUUCCAGGAUCAUCACCUUUGUUGUAAAUAGCUCCCACAUAGUGUGAACAGAAGUCAUAUGUUUUAGAUUUUCUGCCUUGGCACCCAGG